AUACGGAGGGUGCGAGCGUUAAUCGGAAUUACUGGGCGUAAAGCGUACGUAGGCGGUUGGUUAAGUUAGAUGUGAAAGCCCCGGGCUUAACCUGGGAACUGCAUUUAAAACUGGCGAACUAGAGUUGAGUAGAGGGGAGUGGAAUUUCAGGUGUAGCGGUGAAAUGCGUAGAGAUCUGAAGGAACACCAGUGGCGAAGGCGACUCCCUGGACUCGAACUGACGCUGAGGUACGAAAGCGUGGGUAGCAAACGGGAUUAGAUACCCUUGUAGUCC
Molecule: ribosomal RNA, 274 nt
Filed under: uncultured bacterium
Lineage: Bacteria
Description: partial 16S ribosomal RNA
Rfam family: Bacterial small subunit ribosomal RNA
Source: RNAcentral